RNAcentral lists this ribosomal RNA (468 nucleotides) under uncultured bacterium. Its description in RNAcentral is "partial 16S ribosomal RNA". It matches the Rfam family "Bacterial small subunit ribosomal RNA", at positions 28 to 507 of the family's 1533-position model. The record is from RNAcentral.
GACGAACGCUGGCGGCGUGCUUAACACAUGCAAGUCGAACGGAAAGGCCCUGCUUUUGUGGGGUGCUCGAGUGGCGAACGGGUGAGUAACACGUGAGUAACCUGCCCUUGACUUUGGGAUAACUUCAGGAAACUGGGGCUAAUACCGGAUAGGAGCUCCUGCUGCAUGGUGGGGGAUGGAAAGUUUCGGCGGUUGGGGAUGGACUCGCGGCUUAUCAGCUUGUUGGUGGGGUAGUGGCUUACCAAGGCUUUGACGGGUAGCCGGCCUGAGAGGGGGACCGGCCACAUUAGGCCUGAGAUACGGAGCAGACUCCUACGGGAGGCAGCAGUGGGGAAUCUUGCGCAGUGGGCGGAAGCGUGAUACAGCAACGCCCCGUGCGGGAUAACGGCCUUCGGGUUGUAAACCGCUUUCGCCUGUGACGAAGCGUGAGUGACGGUAAUGGGUAAAGAAGCACCGGCUAACUACGUG